UUUUCUGAGAAAAAAAAUGGUUGCAUGCUACCGCUUUGUUCUUUUUCUUUUUUCUUUUUUUUUUUUAAUAGAAAUGAGCUUAAUUGAAAAUACGAAGCAACUAAAAUUUAAACUUGGAUCUCGAAUACCAACCAUCAAGCCGUUUAUUACUUGCGCUAGGUCAAUGAGGAAGAUGUUGAUACCGAAAUAUGCCUUAAUGUGCGAAAUCUUGUUAUUUUUAAAUAAUUCAU
This 230-nucleotide long non-coding RNA is filed under the name Ananas comosus (pineapple). RNAcentral describes it as "long non-coding RNA (ACOM_LNC016493)". Lineage: Eukaryota; Viridiplantae; Streptophyta; Magnoliopsida; Poales; Bromeliaceae. The record is from RNAcentral.